UCCGGUUGAUCCUGCCGGAGGUCACUGCUAUUGGAGUUCGAUUAAGCCAUGCGAGUCAAUAGUUCUUCGUGAACUUGGCGGACUGCUCAGUAACACGUGGGUAAUCUACCCUCGGGUCAGGGAUAACCCCGGGAAACUGGGAAUAAUACCUGAUAGGUGAAGAUGUCUGGAAUGAUACUUCGCCUAAAGCUCCGGCGCCCGAGGAUGAGCCUGCGGCCGAUUAGGUUGUUGGCGGUGUAAAGGACCACCAAGCCCGUGAUCGGUACGGGUGUUGAGAGACAUAGCCCGGAGAUGGGGGCUGAGACACGGCCCCAGGCCCUACGGGGCGCAGCAGGCGCGAAAACUACGCAAUGCGCGAAAGCGUGACGUGGGAACUCCAAGUGCCCUGCCUUCGGGUAGGGCUUUUGUUUAGUGUAAGAAGCUGAAUGAAUAAGUGCUGGGUAAGACCGGUGCCAGCCGCCGCGGUAACACCGGCAGCGCGAGUGGUGACCGCUUUUAUUGGGCCUAAAGCGUUCGUAGCCGGUUUGGUAAGUCUUUGGGUAAAUCCUCAGGCUCAACCUGAGGAAUUCCGAAGAUACUGCCAGACUUGGAGUUGAGAGAGGUCAAAGGUACCUCCGGGGUAGGGGUGAAAUCCUAUAAUCCUGGGGGGACCACCAGUGGCGAAGGCGUCUGACUAGAGCAAGCUCGACGGUGAGGGACGAAAGCCAGGGGCGCGAACGGGAUUAGAUACCCCGGUAGUCCUGGCUGUAAACGCUGCGCGCUAGGUGUUACGUCCUCUACGAGGGGGCGUAGUGCCGAAGAGAAGUUGAUAAGCGUGCCGCCUGGGAAGUAUUACCGCAAGGUAGAAACUUAAAGGAAUUGGCGGGGGAGCACCACAAGGGGUGGAGUCUGCGGUUCAAUUGGAUUCAACGCCGG
RNAcentral lists this ribosomal RNA (915 nucleotides) under uncultured archaeon. RNAcentral describes it as "bacterial SSU rRNA". It matches the Rfam family "Archaeal small subunit ribosomal RNA", at positions 1 to 921 of the family's 1478-position model. The record is from RNAcentral.